Long non-coding RNA from Daphnia pulicaria, 3850 nucleotides. RefSeq lists it as uncharacterized. NCBI's taxonomy places the organism in Eukaryota, Metazoa, Arthropoda, Branchiopoda, Diplostraca, Daphniidae. The record is from RefSeq and is a predicted model, not a curated record. The transcript is spliced from 16 exons.
GUUGAUUAACUUUUUCUCUUGCUGCAUUACCGGCUGUACGUUUCUUGUUCGUCACAUGGGGAAAUACUUCAGAACAGUAAAAGCAUGGUGAAGUCUGAGCUUCUUCAUUGCAGUCCAACGUGUACAUGGAUUUGUUGCAGCCAGCUGGCGAAAGGUGUUCCUCUUGCAACCUUGCUACCGGUUGUAGCUUUUGUCACAUCCAGGAACACUCCAGAUGAUUUAACUAUGAACCCUAAAUUGUGUCCACCAGGGGGCAAAAUUUCCAUGGGCAGUUCUACGAGCUGUUUACGGUGUUGCUGUUUGGGGUACAGUGGUUUUGCAGACAUUUUUCCAGUUGAGAGAUGCGCUGAAAUGGAGCUUGUGCAGACUUGCAGUUGGACAUCAUACUUUAAUGUGUCAUUUUCCUAUUUUGGUGUCCAUGCAGUGUUGAACUGUUGUGCAAAAUAGUCAAUGUUGCGUUAUGGCUGUCGGGCUUAUUUUAUCGGCAGCAUUUUGUCGAUAUGUCGUCUCUUGCUACCUGUACUUCCGUCGAGUUGAUUCGUUCGUCGCCGUUCAUUAGACUUGAUUCACCGGUGAAACUAAGAAGACGUCGCUGAAAUUCAAGAUUGAUCAAUAAAUUAUGUAGAUGUAUAUAAAUUACAAGUGCAUAUCUGGGCUCCCUUCUUCAGUGGCCCCGUUUCCCUAACUAACCACUAACCAACGACUAACCAACGACUAACCAACGCCCGCCGGUGGUCACUCACUCGCUGCGAUAACCAGGAGGAAAGGAGAUGUUUGGUCGAACGGGGACUUGCAAGGCGCAUGAUUCGAUGAAAUCUGUUGGAGGGUCAUGAGUCUCUCUAAGCCGGAAGCCUACUAUGGUUAGGUUAUCCUGAAACCUUUAGGGUUGCCAUUCCAUCGAGGCUUAAACGAGAUGACGCGGGGGUGUUUCCUAUUGAGAAGUUUUGGUGACAAGGAGUCACUGAACGAAACGCUAAACCAAAUGAAAAAAAAUAUAUAUAUAUUAAAAAAGCCAACGAUCCUUUAUACAUCCGAGCCGAGUCCUUUCCGUCAACAUUCGGUGUGAAGAGCAAAACCCGAAUUUAACACAUUUUACUGCUUAGCAACGAAAACAAAGCGAGUGUCAAAACAUUGUUUUACUUGUACAUACUUUAUUGUGGCAGAAACGCGUUGGUCAUGUAACAGGGUGAAAUUUGUUUUCCCUUUUUUUGAAGCAGCAUCAAACGACACGCGAUAGGUUCUGGCGGUAAUCAACUAUUCAAGAUGAUAGACCUGUCAAUGUAAAAGACAGGAUUUUCUUCUCCGACCGCAGGUGCAAGGAUUAUGUGUUUGAAACUUAGAAAAGUGUAGAACGGUAGAAUAUUAAAAAAAAAAAAAUAACGACAGUCCUUCAAACGGUUCGAAAUGGAAUUCACUCACCGAAGACACGAGUCAAAUGACUCAAAUGUGGUAUUUUUAAAACCCAUUCCCAGCAACGUCAACCUGCAGAAAGAAAAAGGUCAGUUUCUAUGACCUUGACGCUCGAAGGUCACGGAGAUCAUUACGUAAAACGUGUCAUGCAGUGGUGUAGAGGUUGGGUGAGAAUGACACGUGUUGCUUCAUUAUCUAAAAGACCCAUCCCCGGCAAAGUCACCUGCAGAAGGAAAGGCCAGUUUGCAUUUCAAUCGAAGGUCAUGGAUAUCAUUACGUAAAAGGUGUCAGGCAUUGGUGUAAAGGUUGGGUGAGAACGGGACGUUUUGCUUCAUUAUCAAGAAGUUGACAGGGAUCAGUCGAGUGAGCAUCUCCGACACGGCAACAACUCCAUAUUUCGUCGUAAUAUCAGUUCGCAAUCACGGUUAACUAUGCCGUCGUGCUGCUAUUGGUUGUUGUAUCGUUGAUGGCUGGGUCGACCACUGGUGUACCGAUGUCUCCUGGAUAAGGCGGAUACCAAACCGCAACGCCGCCGCCGCCUUACUACACAACAACAUACGCAACGACCAGUUACUACACCGAGGUUGCACAGUUGGGUUUACAGUUAAACCACCAAGGAUUCAGAUUAUUACACCACAACUUGUGCCGCUCCCCUAGCUACACUACCGAAGCGCAGAGUACUACACCGAGGCUCCUAAGUACUACACCACCGAGGCACCUACUGAGACUACGCAACUACGUAUGCUGACCCAACCUAUGACACCGAGGCUCCAGCUUAUUACACCACUAAAGCUGUCGAAUACUACACUGGAGCGCCCAAGUACGAUAGAAGUCAGUCAAGUGAGCUUCUCCGACACGCAACACGGCAGCCCCGAAGUUUCGAAUAAUAUUCGUUUCAAACAGUGGAACGACAAAGAGUGAGGCAAAGAUAACGGUGGCGUAGCAUUCGUACGUGUACACCGCGUCGUUAAACUUGACAUUGUCGGUCGGAAAGCCGAACUUGACGAUGGCCGUGCCAUAAGUCUACGACAAGUGCCUUAUUGCCACAGGUGGUAACAAAAAUCUUUGAGCGGUGCCCUCAAAGAUGUCCACGAGCACGUAAUGCUGUUCCGCAACAUCGAUGGCGGUAACAUAGGCCGAGUCCUCCCUAAAUAUUUGAGCCAAUCGACUUCCGAGAAGGUGAAAGCGCAAGGUGUCAAUGUGUUGUCCAAAGCCAAUGUUGAGGGUGCAAUUUUGAAAGAAGACAAGGUCGCAUUGACUUUAAACGAUGGUCAAAAGAUUUAAACUGGCCAUAACGUCGCUGUUGUCGAUUGGGACGCAAACUUCACGGAUUUGGCUGUCGUUUCUGGUUCGGAAAUAGAUUCCAAUUUUGGUGGUUAUCGAGUCAAUACCGAGCUUGAAGCACGAUCGAACGUCUGGUUAGCUGGAGAUGUUACGUCUUUUUGUGAUAUCAAAUUGGGCUGCGUGGUACGGAACAUCAUCACUUUGCUGUUGUAUCAGGGCGAUUGCUGGAGAGAACACUACUGGCAACGAAACAUGGAUGAACAACUGCAGUGCACUGUCACCAAGUUCAUUCUUCGUCGUAUUAUCAGUACGCAAUCGGUGUCGUGCUGUUGCCGUUUGUCGUAUCGUUGAAGGUUGGGUCGAUCACUGUUGUACUCGUGGCUCCUGGGUAAGGCGGAUACCAAAGCACCACGCCGCCGCCUUGCUACACAACAACAACAUUCGCACCAACUGGUUACUACACUGAGGACCACAAUUACUACACCACCAAGGCUCUAGAGUAUUACACCGCAGCUAAUGCUGCCCCGAGCUAAAUCACCAAAGAUCCUGAGUACUACACCGAGGCUCCCAAGUACUACACCACCAAGUCACCGGAGUACUACACGUAUGUUGCCCCAUCUUAUACACCGAGGCUCCCAAGUAUUACUCAGUUCUCGCUACUACACCGAAGCUCCAACUUAUUACACCACCAAAGCGGCUGAAUAUACAACGAGCCGCCCAAAUACUACACCACCAAGGCUCCAGAGUAUUACACCACAACUUAUGCUUCCCCGAGCCACUACACUGAAGCCCCGAAGUAUUACUCUGCCUCAAGCUACACAGACUUACUACACAGCGGCUGCUGCUCCUUCGUACUACGUUGAACCAGAAUACUACACCGAGGCUCCAGUUUACUACACCACAACCUACGCUACACCUAGCUACUACACCGAGGCACCUAAGUACUACGCUACCAAGGCACCUGAGUACCACUACUCACGCUGCUCCGACCAGCUACACUGAAGCUCCGACGUAUUCUAGUGUUUGGACAAAGGAGUUGUAUAUAGUGUUUGGUUUCUCAUAGAAGUUUAUUUGAAGGGUCUGGAGUUGAUCAGUCACUUGCCCAUAACUCAUGUAAAACUUCAAAGUUGUAAAAAAUGUACAAGUCGUGAACUAA